UACAUGCAGUCGAGCGGAGAGAAGAAGCUUGCUUCUUCUUUCAGCGGCGGACGGGUGAGUAACACGUGGGCAACCUACCUUGUAGAUUGGGAUAACUCCGGGAAACCGGGGCUAAUACCGAAUAAUCCAUUUUGCUUCAUGGCGAAAUGUUAAAAGGCGGCUUUUACCUGUCACUACAAAAUGGGCCCGCGGCGCAUUACCUAGUUGGUAGGGUAACGGCCUACCAAGGCAACAAUGCGUACCCAACCUGAAAGGGUGAUCGGCCACACUGGGACUGAAACACGGCCCAAACUCCUACGGGAGGCAGCAUUAGGGAAUCUUCCACAAUGGACAAAAGUCUGAUGGACCAACCCCCCGUGAUUGAAAAAGGUUUUCGGAUCGUAAAACUCUGUUGUAAGGGAAAAACACUUACAAAAGUAACUGCUCGUACCUUGACGGUACCUUAUUAAAAAGCCACGGCUAACUACUUGCCACCAGCCGCGGUAAUACUUAGGUGGCAAGCGUUGUCCGGAAUUAUUGGGCGUAAAGCCCGCCCAGGCGGUCCUUUAAUUCCAAUGUGAAAGCCCACGGCUCAACCGUGAAGGGUCAUUGGAAACUGGGGGACUUGAUUACAGAAAAGGAAACCGAAAUUCCACGUGUACCGGUGAAAUGCUUAAAGAUGUGAAGGAACACCAUUGGCGAAGGCGGCUUUCUGGUCUGUAACUGACCCUAAGG
RNAcentral lists this ribosomal RNA (714 nucleotides) under uncultured Sporosarcina sp. RNAcentral's name for it is "bacterial SSU rRNA". It matches the Rfam family "Bacterial small subunit ribosomal RNA", at positions 52 to 751 of the family's 1533-position model. Lineage: Bacteria; Bacillati; Bacillota; Bacilli; Caryophanales; Caryophanaceae. The record is from RNAcentral.